This 253-nucleotide ribosomal RNA is filed under the name uncultured bacterium. RNAcentral describes it as "partial 16S ribosomal RNA". It matches the Rfam family "Bacterial small subunit ribosomal RNA", at positions 524 to 776 of the family's 1533-position model. The record is from RNAcentral.
UACGUAGGUGGCAAGCGUUGUCCGGAUUUAUUGGGUUUAAAGGGUGCGUAGGCGGCUUGAUAAGUCAGUGGUGAAAGCCGAUCGCUCAACGAUCGAACUGCCAUUGAUACUACCAGGCUUGAGUAUAGAUGAGGUAGGCGGAAUUGACAGUGUAGCGGUGAAAUGCAUAGAUAUUGUCAAGAACACCAAUUGCGAAGGCAGCUUACUAAGUUAUAACUGACGCUGAGGCACGAAAGUGCGGGGAUCAAACAGG